Molecule: long non-coding RNA, 1025 nt
Filed under: Capra hircus (goat)
Lineage: Eukaryota; Metazoa; Chordata; Mammalia; Artiodactyla; Bovidae
Description: lncRNA (ENSCHIG00010012447.1)
Source: RNAcentral
CUCUCUCAGUCACUCACUCAGUCACUAACUCACUCAGUCACUCACUCACUAACUCACUCAGUCACUCACUCACUCACUCACUCACUCUCUCACUCACUCAUUCCUCACUCACUCUCACUUGCUCACUCAUUCACUCACUUUCAUUACUCAUUUGUUCACUCAUUCAUUCAUUCGUUACUCAUCCACUUACUUUCACUUGCUCACUCAUUCACUCAUUACUGACUCACUCAUCACUCAUUCACACUCACUCAUUACUCAUUCAUUCACUCACUUUCACUUGCUCACUCAUUCACUCAUUAAUGCAUGCAUGCAUUCACUUACUCAUCACUCAUUCAUUCACUGACUGCUCACUCAUCACUCACUCACUCACUCACUCAGGGGCAGCUGUCCUCAGUGCUAGCUCAGCUGAGGACAGAAAGUGCAGGACUCAGCCCCUGGGGAGGGGGUGGGCACCAGGAUCCGUGUGCCUGGUUAAGAGGCUGUGUUAGAUGGUGAGGAGGAGAAUGCUGGAUGCUGCAGUCUCUUGCGGGAUGGCCACUCUGGGCCCUGAUGCUUCGCACAGCAGGUGGCACCCAGAAAGCUUAAGCUUGCCAAAGGAACGAGGUGGACGAACAGCCCCUGAAAUCCCCACACAGCACGUGAGGCCUAGACCAAGUGCAGAGCCGAGGAGGAUGCAGGAAGGGGAUCUCCUCGCCCAGCCCCUCCAGGAGCACACGGCCCCACACAGCCUAUUGAGAAGCAGAGGGCCAGGCGCUCAAGGCUCUGUGCUCAUUCACAGAAGCACCUCUGGGCCGUGGGGUCUGGCCUGCAGGGAGCGAGAGGAAGGGGUGAGGAGGGACAGUGCUGGCUGGGUUGGGGCCCGGAAGGCCUCCGACAGACGCUGGGCCGCAGCGAUGCUCCACUUAGGUGUGGGGCCGGGCUGGGGCACCCUCCUUUCCCUGGUCAUGGGCAGGAGCAGCAGCCUGAAGGUGCCUGGGGACAGUGGGCCGCCCUCUUGGGACUGUGGGCUCUGUCGGGGCAGCUGA